This 449-nucleotide ribosomal RNA is filed under the name uncultured bacterium. RNAcentral's name for it is "bacterial SSU rRNA". It matches the Rfam family "Bacterial small subunit ribosomal RNA", at positions 328 to 794 of the family's 1533-position model. The record is from RNAcentral.
CCCCCAGACUCCUACGGGAGGCAGCAGUGGGGAAUAUUGCACAAUGGGGGAAACCCUGAUGCAGCAACGCCGCGUGGGUGAAGGAGCGUUUCGGCGCGUAAAGCCCUAUCGGCAGGGAAGAAACAGACGGUACCUGACUAAGAAGCCCCGGCUAACUACGUGCCAGCAGCCGCGGUAAUACGUAGGGGGCAAGCGUUAUCCGGAUUCACUGGGUGUAAAGGGAGCGUAGACGGCGACGCAAGUCUGGAGUGAAAGCCCGGGACCCAACCCCGGGACUGCUCUGGAAACUGCGUCGCUGGAGUACGGGAGGGGCAGGCGGAAUUCCUGGUGUAGCGGUGAAAUGCGUAGAUAUCAGGAGGAACACCGGCGGCGAAGGCGGCCUGCUGGACCGUGACUGACGUUGAGGCUCGAGAGCGUGGGGAGCAAACAGGAUUAGAUACCCCAGUAAU